This 704-nucleotide long non-coding RNA is filed under the name Bemisia tabaci. Its description in RNAcentral is "lncRNA ENSSSA1NGG010796". The record is from RNAcentral. Lineage: Eukaryota; Metazoa; Arthropoda; Insecta; Hemiptera; Aleyrodidae.
CAUGAAGUUGGAUGAUUUCAGCCACAUCAAUUGGAUGCCUCGAAGUGCAGGAAAGGAAGGGACGUAAUCAUAUUCACAUGACUACUUUUUAGUUUAACAUUGGCCAUUGUUAGCAGGCAGUGCACCGAAAUGACAUCUCCUUGAAAUAUGUUCAAUUUAUUUUUCCACAAGACUUCAUCAAGAUUGCUUUAUACCUCUCCAUUUGCAAAAGUCUUCGUGAAGAUGAAAAAAGCUCUGCAGUGAAAUCUCCCGCCACGGUAGUGAAGGCAGCCCAAAAUCGUUGAAUGAGAAUCAAAAUUUGCUGCAAUACAAUCUACUUAAAUGUUCAUCACAUAUGCAGGUGCCAAGGACCAACAAGUCUGAAGGUAUUCUGAGUCAAUAAUCAUUAUUUGCAUUGGAAUUGGUCAAAAUUCUUUUUUUCAACGUGAAAAUAUGUACGUAGAGCAAGAAUUUCACAUAGCUUAAAUGAUGCAGGACUGAUAUUAUUUUUAUCUUUUCAAAUUCUUUCAGUAUCUUUACAGUUUCAUGGAAAAGUUUCAACACUGAAGUAAAUUUUAAGGAGAGAUGGCAAUACCAAAUUUUUGAACUCCCCCCCCCCAAAAAAAAAAAUUAUUGGUUUUUUUCUAAUCAAAUUCUACUGUAUUCAAGUGUAUUUUAAGAUCAAGUUUUCUAAAAUCAGACCGUUAUUGAAUAAGUUACGUACA